This 266-nucleotide ribosomal RNA is filed under the name uncultured bacterium. Its description in RNAcentral is "partial 16S ribosomal RNA". It matches the Rfam family "Bacterial small subunit ribosomal RNA", at positions 524 to 786 of the family's 1533-position model. The record is from RNAcentral.
UACAGAGGUCUCAAGCGUUGUUCGGAUUCAUUGGGCGUAAAGGGUGCGCAGGCGGAUAUGUAAGUCAGUGGUGAAAUCUCCGGGCUUAACCCGGAAAUUGCCGUUGAUACUAUAUAUCUUGAAUGCUGUGGAGGUAAGGCAGAAUAUGUCAUGUAGCGGUGAAAUGCUUAGAGAUGACAUAGAAUACCUAUUGCGAAGGCAGCUUACUACGCAGAUUAUUGACGUCAUGCACGAAAGCGUGGGGAUAAAACAGGAAUUGAGAUACC